Molecule: long non-coding RNA, 1384 nt
Organism: Bos taurus (domestic cattle)
Lineage: Eukaryota; Metazoa; Chordata; Mammalia; Artiodactyla; Bovidae
Source: Ensembl
GUGCUAAUGCCUUUUGUAUUGUCUCUGGCCAAAUACCUCCUUGUUCAGUGUGUAAUCUGAACUCUGCUGAAACCCCUAAGAGUGCUUAUGGUCCUCUGCAACUCAGACCCGUCUACACUUUCCUUCCCAGUAAGGGCUCUGUUGUUUCAAGCCCAGAAUACACCAUACCAACUGCGUGCUGCUAGUCCUCCUUCCUAUACACCAUCACCACUUAUACUUUAACAUACAGUACAAGUUCUAUUAAGAAAAGCAAAGGGAGAAUGUGCUUGAAAACUUUUAGAGCCUCCAAAUUUAUCAUCAACGGGGUUUUUUUCUAACAUUAUUAUUCUGUCCAAACUAACACUCUCUAAUCUCAUCUGUUCUACUUUCUCUCUGGAAAGCUUAUAAUCCCUAUUUACCUGUUGAGAUGUUAUUUGCCCUUCAAAGUCCCCUCAGACUCUUUUGCCUCCAGGGCAGCUUUCUCAAUUCUUGCAGGUGGGAACUGUAUUCUUAGAUCUCCCUCAAUACCUAACUAACAUAGACCUUGGCCCAGAAGCAGUUUCUCAAUAAACCCACAAUUGUAUUAUUCUAGCCCUUGUUUAGUUUCUAUCUAAGUAUACAGAAAGAUGGCUUUACUAUUUGCAUUUCAGAAAAAUACAUCCAGACCUUUCAGGUGUACCCAUUUUACAAAUCAGGAUGUAUUAGAGUUAACUCAAAAUAAUGCAGAUUCAACCUAUAUAUUAUUCUAGUGAACAUUUUCUUAAAUGUUAGUAUUAAUAAUGCAACUAACUGACUAUGGUUUCUUUCCAAGAAUUGUAAGCGAAUAUGUCUACUUUAGGAAACCAUCCUAAGGAAAUAAACCAAAACAGAGGAAGGGCAGUAGGUACAGUCUUCGUCACAUCAUUGUUUUAAUAAAAAAGAAAAAGAAACAAUUGGAAUGCCCCAAACUUGGGCUGUUCUAACAAAUAAUAAAUAUUUGAGUUUAUACUUGACACCAGAAACUAAGGACUGAUCAAGUAGACCAGAACACAUCCUCAUGACUAUGAUGCCAUGAUGUUAAUAAUGUGUUAGCAGUUGUAAAUUAUGGUAAAUAUUUAAAAGGAUAUUGAAUUACAUAUAUACACACACAUUACAAUCACUAUGUAAUACAAAGCAAAAGCCUAUGACUGGAAAGAACAGAUUGGCACACAAUAUACCAAAAUAGUAUGGAUAAUGAAAUUUUUAAAAUUUCUUCUUUCAAAUAUUCUCAAGGGUCAUGUAUUUUAGACAGAACAAAAUAAAUUCUUUGAAGUAUUCAGAAAAUGAUAGAGUGUUCCUAAUUUAGCUGGUAGAGUUUCCCUUCAUAAUGUUUCCAUGCAUUUUUAUUCAAAGCUUGUUUUAUUUUUAAAAGACACUUGGUUGAUCU